GCACUGCUGAGGAGUCCGAUAAUAGAACAAAACGCUCGUCCAGUGC
RNAcentral lists this non-coding RNA (46 nucleotides) under Schistosoma mansoni. Lineage: Eukaryota; Metazoa; Platyhelminthes; Trematoda; Strigeidida; Schistosomatidae. The record is from RNAcentral.